RNAcentral lists this ribosomal RNA (397 nucleotides) under uncultured bacterium. RNAcentral describes it as "partial 16S ribosomal RNA". It matches the Rfam family "Bacterial small subunit ribosomal RNA", at positions 523 to 918 of the family's 1533-position model. The record is from RNAcentral.
AUACGUAGGGGGCGAGCGUUGUCCGGAAUGAUUGGGCGUAAAGGGCGCGUAGGCGGCCUGUUAAGUCUGGAGUGAAAGUCCUGUUUUCAAGAUGGGAAUUGCUUUGGAUACUGAUGGGCUUGAGUGCAGGAGAGGUUAUCGGAAUUCCCGGUGUAGCGGUGAAAUGCGUAGAGAUCGGGAGGAACACCAGUGGCGAAGGCGGGUAACUGGACUGCAACUGACGCUGAGGCGCGAAAGGGUGGGGAGCAAACAGGAUUAGAUACCCUGGUAGUCCACACUGUAAACGAUGAAUGCUAGGUGUAAGAGGUAUCGACCCCUUUUGUGCCGGAGUUAACACAAUAAGCAUUCCGCCUGGGGAGUACGGCCGCAAGGUUGAAACUUAAAGGAAUUGACGGGG